GUCAAGUGGUCCAGCUAGCCGAAGAGGAGUCUGGGAGCGGCAGUGUCCUUUGCAUCGGAGCCCCUCCGUGGCCCCUGGAGCCAGAGAGGCUGGACGUGUCCACUUUCGCCCCAGCGCCAGGUGCUUUUCCCAUCUUCUCCUAGCCACGCCGAGAGAGGCAGUGCCAGCACGGCCCUUUCCACAGAGGGGGAAACAAGAGGCUCAGUCGCUUUCCCAAGCCGGUCGGCACCGGGCCUAGAGGCCAGUCCAGAUUCAGGUGUGCGGUGUCUGGCAAGACGACGGCACAGGUGUGGCGUUUCCCCACCAGGCGCGAGGCCCUCUGUUCCUGCUUUUUGGAGGUCAGCAGGUGGCUCUGGGAUGUGGCACAGAGAAGCCGAGGUGCCUCCUGGGGCGGUUGUUUAUCGAGCCCUCAUGAUGUGCCAGGCACCGCCUGGACGCCACAGCAAACUCUCUGCCCUCAAGGGGCCCACAUUCCCAGAUGAGACAGGAGCCGGGCAUUAACCCAACCGAGACGGCAUGGAAGGCCACAGUUCCAGGUGGGGAGCUACAAGAUGGGGAGCCCUCCUGCCUGGGUCCCUGAGAGACCGCUUGGAGCAGAGCAGCUGCCGUGAGAGGAACUUCCCCCGGGUGGAGCCGCCAAGGUUUGGGAUGUUUGUUCCUGCAGCAGAGUCGAGCCUGGCCUGGCUCAUGCAACAGUGUCCCACUUCCGAGGGACCCAUCACCCAUGUGCAGGGGGCGGGCGAACACGGCUCCACGUCCCCGUGUCUAGGAGCCCCUGGUAGGUGCCCGGUCACCGCUUCCUGGACCCGUCCGAGCAGGGCUGAGCCGCACAGCUGCACAGGAUAUUCUGGCCCUCACAGAUGUGGCCUCCUGUCCACGCCAGGACGUUGGUGGGGCCUGUAGUUGGGGGCUGCCAGAGGCGGCCCCCCUUCUCUGUUGGGCCUUUCUGAACCUGGCAGAGCCACACCGAACCUGGGCACAGCUGGGGUCCCUCCUGUAUGCACCCCUCUGGAGCCAGGCACUUCCACAAAAGCCCCAGCUGCUGCUGGCAGGGUGGAGGGACGUCUGUGCCCCAUUAGCCCAGGUGCUUCUGCCAGCGCCGGGAGCCAGGCAUCACCCCUGGCCAGGGAAGGUCUGCCUGGCAGGGACGCGGUCCGCAGGGAGCUGGCGGCUCUGGGCCUCCCCAGCCUCAGAUCUGCCCCUCCCCCUCCCCCUUCUCCCCACCUGAGGCCUGUUCUCUCUGGGGACAUUUCCUGCCUCCCCUCCCCCUGCCCCCACCCCCAACGCCCCGUGCCUCGAAGGGCAGAGGGUCUGGCCUCCUUCCUUCUCCAUUGCACCCACUCACCUCUGCUGCUCUGCCUUGACCCCUGCUGCGCUUGGGUUGCACCCCCGGCCGCCCCCCCCCCCCCCCCCCCCCCCACUUGUCCGUCUGCCGCAGGAGACCGUGGCCCUCAGGGCUGGGACGGUGCCAUUCCUAGGGCUGAGCCCUGGCUCUCUACCAGGCACGGAGUGAGUGAGUGGACGCCCCCCCUGCCCGGGAGCUGCAUCUGUUUGUUGAGCACCCGCUGCCCACCUGACUGGUCACAUACCCGCCACGCUGGGGAUCCACCUGUGCCGCCGUUGGCUCCUGCGGUCAUCACAUGUGCUUGUAAGGCUGCUGUUACUUGUUGGCCCUGUCUUAGCCUGGGUUGCAGAGCUCGUUUCCCAACUUGGUGCUGCGACAUCAUCUGGAGUCGGCAGGAUGCAGAAUUAGGGUCUGGGAACCACAGCCAAAGGGGAAGAUGCGGGUGAGCAGACCUGGCUCUCUGUGCCAGGAUGGACAAGGGGAACCAGCCAGAGCACUGGCCUCACCGUGGCCACCAACCGCGGUCACCGAUUCUGCACAGUACCGGAACUUGAUUGGUCCAGCAAGUAUCGGCCGUGCACCUGUUGGGCGCCAAGCUGGUCGCCAGGGCCCCGGGAGGGAACAGCCUGCCUGCGCGGCCUCCCUGCCUGGCCUUGCUCUCUCCCAUGGCCUCCCAUCACCCUGGCUGCCUUCUGGAGCUGUAGAUGCUGUGUCCUGCAGGCCUGCCGUCUUCUGGAUCUUUUCCUUCCUGUCACCUGCCCUUCAGAGCUGACCCUAUUUCCUCCGCUUCUGGGAAUCCUUCUGUCUCCUUCUGCUCAGGAGAGUCUCCUUCCUCUGGGUACCAAUAGGCUUGAGUUUCUGGACUACCACAUCCAAAACUAAGCUCCCCCCCCCCAAACCUGCUCCUCCUCUUGGGUCUCGUCUCAGUGGGGCCCCUCCAGCCAAGCAGCCCCUUGAGCCAGACCUGGCCUCCUCCCUUGCCUCCUCUCUCAGCUCAUCCCCCAUCAACAGUCCAUCCAUCACCAAGUCCUGCCGGUUCUGCCUCCUCAGCAUCUCUCAGACCUGUCCACUCCCCUCCGUCCCCACUGCCACCGAGCUGAUCCAGGCCACCCUCAUCUCAGCUCCUGGCUGGUCUCUCAGCCCCUAACCUGCCCUCUAUUCUCCCCUUGGCAGCGGGGCGUCCUUCCACUGUGCACUCGCUCCAGGUGGCAGAAGUCCCCAUGGCUCCCGGCUGCCUCGGGUGCAGGGGAAGUCAGCUGUCAGUCUAACCGGGGUUCCCCUGAAAGUGAAUCUGGGAUAUUCUCCCUCCUUUGGUUUCUGCAGAUGGAUUGAGGCAUGGAUUCUUUGUAUUUAUUUUUCUGGGGACGCUGGGUAUCCUGAAUCUAUGAUUUGGUAUCUUUUAUCAGUUCUGGAAAAUUAUCAGCCACCAUCUCUUAAACAUGGUGUCUACCUGUUUUUCUCUCUUCUAGGGCUCUAAUUAAACUUGCUCUUUUCUACCCUCUCCUUUUCCCCAUCUUUGUGUCUCUCUGCAAUGCAUUCUGGAUAUUUUCUUUUGACUUAUUUUCUUUUGACCUAAUUCUUUCUUUGGCUGUAUUUACUCCAUUCUUAGACUCAUCCAUCGAGUGUUUUUAACGCUUUAUUAUUUUGGAAUGUAACACACAUGCAUGAAAUGCAUAAAUUGUAAAUAUACAGCUUUGCAGAAGAGUGAAAAACAAAUGUACAGUUUAAUAAAUGAUUAGAAACCAAACAUGUAUGGGACUAUUACUGACAGGUCAAGAAGUAAAGUCUCUGAGUUUUUUCUUUUAAAGAUUGACACCUGAGCUAACAUC
RNAcentral lists this long non-coding RNA (3174 nucleotides) under Equus caballus (horse). RNAcentral describes it as "lncRNA (ENSECAG00000056841.1)". Lineage: Eukaryota; Metazoa; Chordata; Mammalia; Perissodactyla; Equidae. The record is from RNAcentral.